UGUGUGUAGAUUAGUUUAGAGAGAGUUCUUUCUUUUUGAAAUAAAUUUGAUCGCGAAAGAGUUCUUUUCUAUUUCGACUUUUUCGAUUUGCUGAAGAGAAAUUCCGCCAACGACGGUUCUCCGACUAUAGUUUGGCUUUAGCUAACCUUAAAUACCUUGUCCAUAGCCAUGGUGAACAUCUUAGCGUAAGCUGAGGUCCAAGGGUCUAGCUAAUGCUUCUAAUUCAAUAUGGCGUGUCCAUUGACCUUCGAGUUCUUUGUAAAUUUAUGAUCUAAGUCGGUCCGUCUUUUGGAGUUUGAUCAGC
This 304-nucleotide long non-coding RNA is filed under the name Elaeis guineensis (African oil palm). RNAcentral describes it as "long non-coding RNA (EGUI_LNC030473)". The record is from RNAcentral. Lineage: Eukaryota; Viridiplantae; Streptophyta; Magnoliopsida; Arecales; Arecaceae.